AGAGUUUGAUCCUGGCUCAGAAUGAACGCUGGCGGCGUGCUUAACACAUGCAAGUCGUACGAGAACUCUUUAGCUUGCUAAAGAUAGUAAAGUGGCGUACGGGUGAGUAACACGUGGGUAAUCUACCUCCGAAUCGGGGAUAACAUUGCGAAAGCGAUGCUAAUACCGGAUAAUAUCUUUUUAGCUCAGGCUUUGAAGAUCAAAGGUGGUCUCUACAUGUAAACUACUGUUUGGAGAUGAGCCCGCGCACCAUUAGCUUGUUGGUAGGGUAACGGCCUACCAAGGCUUCGAUGGUUAGCUGGUCUGAGAGGAUGAUCAGCCACACUGGAACUGACACACGGUCCAGACUCCUACGGGAGGCAGCAGUGAGGAAUUUUGCGCAAUGGGGGAAACCCUGACGCAGCAACGCCGCGUGAGUGAUGAAGGCUUUCGAGUCGUAAAGCUCUGUCAAGUGGGAAGAACCUAGGAUAUGAUAAUACCAUAUCUUACUGACGGUACCACUGAAGGAAGCACCGGCUAACUCCGUGCCAGCAGCCGCGGUAAUACGGAGGGUGCAAGCGUUAUUCGGAAUUAUUGGGCGUAAAGGGCGCGUAGGCGGCUUCUUAAGUCAGAUGUGAAAGCCCGGGGCUUAACCCCGGAAGUGCAUUUGAAACUAAGUGGCUUGAGUAUGGGAGAGGGAAGUGGAAUUCCUGGUGUAGAGGUGAAAUUCGUAGAUAUCAGGAGGAACACCGGUGGC
RNAcentral lists this ribosomal RNA (736 nucleotides) under uncultured delta proteobacterium. RNAcentral describes it as "bacterial SSU rRNA". It matches the Rfam family "Bacterial small subunit ribosomal RNA", at positions 8 to 716 of the family's 1533-position model. Lineage: Bacteria; Deltaproteobacteria. The record is from RNAcentral.